This 620-nucleotide ribosomal RNA is filed under the name Salmonella enterica subsp. enterica serovar Derby. Its description in RNAcentral is "partial 23S ribosomal RNA". It matches the Rfam family "Bacterial large subunit ribosomal RNA", at positions 568 to 1190 of the family's 2925-position model. RNAcentral also lists the same sequence under 3 other names. The record is from RNAcentral. Lineage: Bacteria; Pseudomonadati; Pseudomonadota; Gammaproteobacteria; Enterobacterales; Enterobacteriaceae.
AAGCAGAGGGGGCUUAGUGGUGGGGUGACUGCGUACCUUUUGUAUAAUGGGUCAGCGACUUAUAUUCUGUAGCAAGGUUAACCGUAUAGGGGAGCCGGAGGGAAACCGAGUCUUAAUUGGGCGUUAAGUUGCAGGGUAUAGACCCGAAACCCGGUGAUCUAGCCAUGGGCAGGUUGAAGGUUGGGUAACACUAACUGGAGGACCGAACCGACUAAUGUUGAAAAAUUAGCGGAUGACCUGUGGCUGGGGGUGAAAGGCCAAUCAAACCGGGAGAUAGCUGGUUCUCCCCGAAAGCUAUUUAGGUAGCGCCUCGUGAAUUCAUCUCCGGGGGUAGAGCACUGUUUCGGCUAGGGGGCCAUCCCGGCUUACCAACCCGAUGCAAACUGCGAAUACCGGAGAAUGUUAUCACGGGAGACACACGGCGGGUGCUAACGUCCGUCGUGAAGAGGGAAACAACCCAGACCGCCAGCUAAGGUCCCAAAGUCAUGGUUAAGUGGGAAACGAUGUGGGAAGGCCCAGACAGCCAGGAUGUUGGCUUAGAAGCAGCCAUCAUUUAAAGAAAGCGUAAUAGCUCACUGGUCGAGUCGGCCUGCGCGGAAGAUGUAACGGGGCUAAACCAU